GAUGAACGCUGGCGGCGUGCCUAACACAUGCAAGUCGAGCGAUUUACUUCGGUAAAGAGAACGGCGGACGGGUGAGUAACGCGUGGGUAACCUGCCCUGUACACACGGAUAACAUACCGAGAGGUAUGCUAAUACGAGAUAAUAUACUUUUAUCGCAUGGUAGAAGUAUCAAAGCUUUUGCGGUACAGGAUGGACCCGCGUCUGAUUAGCUAGUUGGUAAGGUAACGGCUUACCAAGGCGACGAUCAGUAGCCGACCUGAGAGGGUGAUCGGCCACAUUGGAACUGAGACACGGUCCAAACUCCUACGGGAGCAGCAGAGGGGAAUAUUGCACAAAUGGGCGAAAGCCUGAUGCAGCAACGCCGCGUGAGCGAUGAA
Molecule: ribosomal RNA, 377 nt
Filed under: uncultured bacterium
Lineage: Bacteria
Description: bacterial SSU rRNA
Rfam family: Bacterial small subunit ribosomal RNA
Source: RNAcentral